UGGGGAAUAUUGGACAAUGGGGGCAACCCUGAUCCAGCAAUGCCGCGUGUGUGAAGAAGGUCUUCGGAUUGUAAAGCACUUUCGACGGGGACGAUGAUGACGGUACCCGUAGAAGAAGCCCCGGCUAACUUCGUGCCAGCAGCCGCGGUAAUACGAAGGGGGCUAGCGUUGCUCGGAAUGACUGGGCGUAAAGGGCGUGUAGGCGGUUUACACAGUCAGAUGUGAAAUCCCCGGGCUUAACCUGGGAGCUGCAUUUGAUACGUGUAGACUAGAGUGUGAGAGAGGGUUUGUGGAAUUCCCAGUGUAGAGGUGAAAUUCGUAGAUAUUGGGAAGAACACCGGUGGCGAAGGCGGCAACCUGGCUCAUGACUGACGCUGAGGCGCGAAAGCGUGGGGAGCAAACAGGUUAGAUACCCUGGUAGUCCACGCCUGUAAACGAUGUGUGCUAGAUGUUGGGUAACUUU
This 463-nucleotide ribosomal RNA is filed under the name uncultured bacterium. Its description in RNAcentral is "partial 16S ribosomal RNA". It matches the Rfam family "Bacterial small subunit ribosomal RNA", at positions 355 to 834 of the family's 1533-position model. The record is from RNAcentral.